CGGGUGAGUAACGCGUGAGGAACCUGCCUCAAAGAGGGGGGAAACAGUUGGAAACGACUGCUAAUACCGCAUAAGCCCACGGCUCGGCAUCGAGCAGAGGGAAAAGGAGCAAUCCGCUUUGAGACGGCCUCGCGUCCGAUUAGCUAGUUGGUGAGGUAACGGCCCACCAAGGCGACGAUCGGUAGCCGGACUGAGAGGUUGAACGGCCACAUUGGGACUGAGACACGGCCCAG
This 233-nucleotide ribosomal RNA is filed under the name uncultured bacterium. RNAcentral's name for it is "partial 16S ribosomal RNA". It matches the Rfam family "Bacterial small subunit ribosomal RNA", at positions 103 to 334 of the family's 1533-position model. The record is from RNAcentral.